UUCCAAUUGAUGUAGGACGUACUGUGUAGAAGAUUUGUUAAAGCUUGGGAACAGGAAAGUGUCAAUGAUUUAUGGCUGUUGGUAUAAUUUUAAACACUAUUUGACAUCAUUUGUAUUCCUCUUUGACAAGUUCCACACAUUUCCUUAACAUUUGAAAAUGUGCCACUGUCGAUUAUGUCUUUGUUGGGAUUAUUAUGAUCUAGCGUCUAGGCCUAGUUUUCUUCCCUUGAUUGAAGUAAGUUCAAAGUAGUUUCCCCUUGCAUAGACAAUUUGGUAUCCUUGUCAGAAAUGUAAUUUUAUUGGGCUGAAAGGUAAAAUCUUGUUCUGCUCUCAAAUCAGAUGAAGAUAUAUUGUUAAAGGCAUUUUACAAUCCCACGUCACAGCUGCACAAGUAUUUUUCUUGUGUUCUUGUUUUCUGGUCUCUCAUUCUGUGAUAAGCAGGUUUUAUUCAGUCUCUGCUUUCACAAUCUUCUCUCAUCCAUUCAAACAAGCUUGACAACUGUUACUAAAAUUUUGUAUUCCGGGGCCAUGUAGGCUGGAGUGCCUUUUAGGCCGCUGCUGGUCGAAAAACUUCCGGAAUUGGUCACGGUCUUGCAGAACCCGAAAUCGGAGAUUUUGAGGACAAAUCUCGGAGAAAUCAACACGUUGGCCGGCUUGAUGUCUCGAUGAACGAAGCGUUUGGAGUGAAUGUAAGCCAAUCCACUGGUCAUUUGAAAUAACCCAUCGACCUCGGCAGGCAUCUGGCCUGAAUAAUCUCCUCGAAUGUAAUCGUCGACCGUCGCAACGCAAAGCUCCAAAAUAAGAAUCUUUAGGACUUCAUCCAAUUUCCAGCGCUCGUUGGGAUUUUUUUUCGUCAUUCCAUCAAUCACGGCGAAUGCGUAAUGAUUCGGUGACAACUUUCCAUUGUCGAGAACCUUUAUAUCUGAUUGGAUGUUGGAGAUAGUUCCAAACUCGUCGGGCGAUCCUCCAUUUUUGGCAAACGGAUGGCAGCCUUCUGUGAGGCGAGUAAUAGAUGCGGGUGCCUUUUGGGCCACUAGUCAUCGAGAAACUGCCGGAACUUGUCACGGGCCGACAGACUCCGAAAUCGGAAAUUUUUAGAACAAUCGAUUGAGAAAUCAACACGUUGGCCGGCUUGAUGUCUCGAUGGACCAAACAUUGGGAGUGGAUGUAAGCCAAUCCGCUUGCCAUUUGAAUCAACGCAUCGAUCUCGGUGGGCAUCUCCCUUUUAUAGUUUCCUUUGAUGUAAUCGUUGACUGUUGCAAUACAUAAUUCCAGUAUCAGAUACCU
RNAcentral lists this long non-coding RNA (1287 nucleotides) under Daphnia pulex (common water flea). RNAcentral's name for it is "uncharacterized LOC124208076, transcript variant X2". The record is from RNAcentral. Lineage: Eukaryota; Metazoa; Arthropoda; Branchiopoda; Diplostraca; Daphniidae.